This is an RNA transcript of Myotis daubentonii (Daubenton's bat), 4884 nucleotides long. It is a transcript of the gene named cadherin related family member 1, with no coding region annotated. The transcript is spliced from 18 exons. The record is from RefSeq and is a predicted model, not a curated record. Lineage: Eukaryota; Metazoa; Chordata; Mammalia; Chiroptera; Vespertilionidae.
CCCCGCCGCUGCGGCCGCGCUAAUCGGCCUCCCAGCCGGUCACCGCGCAGCGCCCCCCUCCUGCCCGCACCUCUGCUCGUCGCGGAGACAUGCGGGCCGCCCUGGCCCUGGCGCUGCUGCGCCUCUGCCUCGCUAAGGUCAACUUCGCCCCCCACUUCUUCGACAACGGAAACCUGGGCCUGUUCAGCCUCCCGGAGGACACCCCUGUCGGCUCUCAUGUGUACACGCUGAAUGGGACAGACCCUGAGGGCGAGCCUGUGUCCUACCACAUCAGCUUUGACCCCAGCACUAGAAGCGUCUUUUCUGUUGACCCCAAUUUUGGAAACAUCACCCUGAUCGAAGAGCUGGACCGAGAGAGGGAGGACCAGAUCGAAGCCAUCAUCAGCAUUUCUGACGGCCUGAACCUGGUGGCAGAGAAAGUCGUGAUCCUGGUGACUGAUGUCAACGACGAGGCACCCAGGUUCCUCCAGGAGCCGUACACUGUCCAGAUUCCUGAGGACACACCUGCUGGGAGCAGUAUCUUUGAGGUUCGUGCUGUGGACAAGGACACGGGCUCUGGAGGAAGUGUCACCUACUCCCUGCAGAACACGCCGGCCACCCAGUUCACUGUGGACCGCCUCCGCGGCGUGCUGCGCCUCCGGGCAGGGUCCGCCCUGGACUACGAGAAGGCCCGGGCCCACUUCGUCACGGUGGUUGCCCAGGACGGCGGCGGGCGGCUGAGGGGUGCAGCUGCGGUGUUCUCGGCCACCACCACGGUCACGGUCAGCGUGGAGGACGUGCAGGAUGUGGGCCCCGUGUUUGUGGGCACUCCCUUCCACGGCUGCGUGUACGAGGACACCAUUCCAGGCUCUGAGGUGCUGACAGUGGUCGCCAUGGAUGGAGACAGGGGCAAACCCAACCGCCUUCUCUACAGCCUCGUGAAUGGGAGUGACGGUGCCUUUGACAUUAACGUGACGUCUGGAGCCAUCGUGGUCACCCAGAGCCCCGCCCAGCUCCGGAGAGAGGUGUAUGAGCUGCACGUCCAGGUGACUGAGGUCAGCGCUGCAGGGAGCCCCGCUGCCCAGGCCACGGUCCCCGUCACCAUCAGGCUCGUGGACCUCAACAACCACCCACCUACAUUCUACGGAGAGAGUGGACCCCAGACCAGGUUCGAGCUGUCCCUGUCCGAGCACCCGCCCCCGGGGGAGAUCCUGCGAGGCCUCAAGGUCACUGUCAAAGACUUGGACCAGGGCACCAAUGCCAAGUUCGCCCUGCGGCUGGUGGGGCUGGAGGAUGCCUUCCGCGUGGUCCCGCAGACAGCCCUGAAGGAAGCCCAAGUCACAGUCCUCGCUGAGAACUCAGCCGCCAUUGACUUUGAGAAGUUCAGAGUGUUAACCUUCCAGCUCCUGGCGACUGAGGUGGACACGGCCGAGAAGUUCAGUGCCACCGCAGAUGUGGUGGUCCAGCUGCUGGACUCCAACGACAAUGCCCCCCAGUUCACCUCUCCCCACUACGUCGCCAGGGUUCCCGAGGACGCCCCAGGGGGCUCCACCGUGGUGGCCGUCAGGGCUGUGGAUCUGGACACAGGCCCCUGGGGGGCAGUCACGUAUUCCAUCUAUGGGCCCGGGGCAGACCUCUUUCAGAUCCACUCCUCCACGGGGGUCAUCUGCACGCAGCCCUGGGCCAGCCUGGAUGCCGAGGCCACCGCCAGGUACAGCUUCCAUGUAAGAGCAGAGGACACAGGGGGCAGGCAUGGCCUGGCCAAGGUGACCGUCUUGCUGCUGGAUGUCAAUGACCACCCCCCCCAGUUUGGACAGAGCAUCCAGGAGAAGACGAUGGUGCUGGGGACCCCUGUGAGAAUCAAGGCCACAGACCUGGAUGCAGAGGCGCCCAACAACCUGGUGGACUACUCCAUCACGCACGCGGAGCCGGCCGGCGUGUUUGACAUCGAUGCACGCACAGGAGAGAUCCGGCUCAAGAGCUCCAUCCGCUCCCUGGACGCCCUGCGCAGCAUCACGCACAGCGGGGACUGCACGUGGGCCCUGGAGGUGCAGGCCAAGGACCGCGGCUCCCCAUCCUUCAGCACCAUGGCCGUCCUCAGGAUUGACAUCACAGACGCCGAGACGCUUCCCCGGAGCCCCAUCGACACCUUCCUGAUGCAGACCAGAGAUGACCCUGCGAAGGCUGUUGGCGUGCUGGCUGGCGCCGUGGCCAUUACUGUGGCCAUCACCGCCCUCGUGUCCACCGUCACCUUCUGGCGCAGCAAGAAGUCCAACAGGGUCCUGCCAGUGCGGCGUGUGCUUCGCAGGCGGCCCCGCCCUGCCCCCCGCGCUGCCCGCAUCAAGUGGCUGAAGUGCAGUAGGACCAAGGCUGCAGCCAAGUUCGUUCUCAAAGAGGAUCCCCCCAGUGAGAGCUGCAACGGCAGCCUGGGGAGCCCCCCACCCCUCAGAGCCCCAGUGCCCCCUCCUCUACCCAGAGUGGCACCCGGCCCGGGGGCAGCAGCCUGGACUGUGCCCACAGUCUCUGGCUCACUCACCUCUCUGCAACCUCGAGGGUCACCCAAACCCAGCGCCUCGGGAAGCCCCAUCCAGUCAGCUCUGGUCUCGGAGCUCAGGCAACAGUUUGAGAAGCGUGGAACUGACAAGGCGCACUUUUAGAGUGCGGCCCAGAGCCCCUCUCCCCAACCUUCUCUCCCCCCUGCUCCUUAGGGUCACCCAGUUUUGUAUGAUGGUGUAACCCCCAUAUUCAGGGCUCUGGAUAACACCUGGGCAAGGGAUUUCCCUGGUUCUGGACGCGAUGGGGCAGCACUUCCCAUUGCCCUGGCGCUUGCAGCUGCCCUCCGUUCAGCAGAGGCCAGGAAUCGACAAGGAGUCGGCUCCCUGUCUCCUACUCACCAGUCCCAGACCCACAGUCCAUGGCUCUCCCAGGGCCUCCGGAUCCUCAGGCGAGGAGCGGGCCUGGCCCCUGUGACAAGGCCAGCCAGAACCUGAUCCUGAAGCCCCAGCUGAGAGCAGGGCAGACACAGGAGGUCCAGCGCUGGCUGAGGGAGAGCAAACGUGUGGGAAAGGGCAGAGGUGCACUGGGAGCAGUCAGCUGACUGCGAGGCUGUGCUGGGGCUGCUGGGAAGGUGGGGGGAGGGAGGGGCGAGGGUGUUUGGGCAGAGACCGCGGGGCACUCCUGUACCCACGGGAACCAGGGACACAGGUGUAAAAAGGGCCUUGCAAGAGGGAGAGUGGAUGCCCCAGCCAGGGCUUCCCUGAACCCAGAAGUGUUCAAGCUGGAGCCCGAGGCGGGUGGAGGGUCCUAGUGGCCACAGGAAAAGCUUCAUGUCCCUCAUGAGGGAGCUGCCCCCAGGAGCCGUGAAGGGAGCAGGCAGGUGUCAGUGCUGAGAUCUGGGGAGACCUCGCUUCCAGCCGGCUCUUCUCUUCCCCGGUGUAACCGUCUGGAAGCUCAGCCUCUUCCUCGUUUGUGAAAUGAGACGGUGAGUCCCAUGGGCCUCCUCAGGUCCAGGGUGAGAAUGAAAUGAGCAGUGGGGACAGGGCUUCAACAAGUGCAAGCGGCACCCAUGGGUUCUCCGCAGGCAGUUCUCGGGUACGGCUCUUCCAGGAAGUGUCAGGGACCCUUGGCUGCUCUGCCAAGCACCCCAGGAAGAGCUGUGCUGGGCGAGGGUGUUGCCACUGACCCGGCAGCCAGAGCAGGACAGUGGCAUUGCCGGAUUCCUGCCGCCCCAUCACCUCCCGGGGCGGCGGCCCAGCCACUACAGGGCGCCUGGCAACAGCAGUCAGUCCAAGCCUCCAUCUGCUGAGGUGAGAGGCUGCCGGCUCCGGGUCUCCGUGGCCCUUUGGGAAGGGGCAGGUCUUUGCAUGUUGCCCCUCACGAAGAACCCCAAGAAUCUGCCCGGCAUCUUAUUCAAGCAGGUGAAGUGCACGUGUGGGGUCCUGAGUCUGCGGAGUUUGGGGCGCUCCUCAGACAGGCCCCUGGCCGGGCUCCUGCUGCCCCUGCCCCUGGAGUAGUGACAGGUGGGCUCUGGGGAGCCAGGGCCCUGACGGACAGACAGUCCUCUGCAGAGUGUCAGGAGGCAAUGGGCCCAGGUUGUCUCCCAGAGAGCACAGCAGCCUCCCAGCUCCCUGCAACCACCCUCUUUGUGAAGGUGAAUGCCAGGGCCCGGUAGCCACGCCUCUGGCUCCUGCUGAGGCUCCUGCUAGCUACUCCAGAGACCACUUCCCGGUCCACAGCUGAGUGCCUCCGGCCUCCUGGCUCCUCUGGUGGAUGGAUCCAUCCUUCACCCCAGGUCUGACUCUGUGGGUAGCUGCAAAUUUUUGUCCAAAUUGCCAUGCGGACUCCUCAGACAGCAGCACGCCUGCAGGGAGGAAUGGGAUCUAAUUAUCCUCAGCCGAGCCCAGCAAGCAGGAGCCAGGAGACCUGGCAUGGGCGUGGGAACCCAAGGGCGCUGCUGGCCCUGGGACAGUGUUCGCAGCCCAGAGAUAUGCUUCUUCCUGUGGCUGAGCUCCGACUUCCUAAUUCUAUAAAAGUCAGGCGGCCCUGGGUCUGAAUCCUGAUCCUGUCAGGCGUGACUUUGGGCCUCACUUUCCUCAUAAGUACAUGGAACGAAGACGUGUUUCCAGGAGGAUGACAGGAGCUGCCUACGGAAAGACCGCCUCCAGCUCUGUGCCUGGGGCCAGCCGGAGACCGCUGCUGUUCUUGGUUUUACGGGAGGGACUGAGCGUGACGGUGGUCCCCACACUGAGCACCAGGUCCUGGGGGUGAGGGUCCCUCACGCAUCCUCAUCUCCAGGGUGUUUCCCUCCACCGCCAGACCCAGGAGAGUAGCCCCUCACACAGAGGCAGCAUCUCUUGGCAGACAACGAGGCUUCCCGGGGUCAAGGAGAUCGGAGAGAUGCCACGU